This 467-nucleotide ribosomal RNA is filed under the name uncultured bacterium. RNAcentral describes it as "partial 16S ribosomal RNA". It matches the Rfam family "Bacterial small subunit ribosomal RNA", at positions 28 to 507 of the family's 1533-position model. The record is from RNAcentral.
GACGAACGCUGGCGGCGUGCUUAACAAUGCAAGUCGCACGGAAAGGCCCUGCUUUUGUGGGGUGCUCGAGUGGCGAACGGGUGAGUAACACGUGAGUAACCUGCCCUUGACUUUGGGAUAACUUCAGGAAACUGGGGCUAAUACCGGAUAGGAGCUCCUGCUGCAUGGUGGGGGUUGGAAAGUUUCGGCGGUUGGGGAUGGACUCGCGGCUUAUCAGCUUGUUGGUGGGGUAGUGGCUUACCAAGGCUUUGACGGGUAGCCGGCCUGAGAGGGUGACCGGCCACAUUGGGACUGAGAUACGGCCCAGACUCCUACGGGAGGCAGCAGUGGGGAAUAUUGCACAAUGGGCGGAAGCCUGAUGCGGCAACGCCGCGUGCGGGAUGACGGCCUUCGGGUUGUAAACCGCUUUCGCCUGUGACGAAGCGUGAGUGACGGUAAUGGGUAAAGAAGCACCGGCUAACUACGUG